GACACCAUAGCCAAGUGGUCUAAGGCGACAGAUUCGAAUCACGUGGACCAUCUGUUGGGGUUUCCCCGCGCAGGUUCGAACCCUGCUGGUGUCG
This is a non-coding RNA of Cristinia sonorae, 94 nucleotides long. The record is from the annotation of a GenBank genome assembly. Lineage: Eukaryota; Fungi; Basidiomycota; Agaricomycetes; Agaricales; Stephanosporaceae.